RNAcentral lists this unclassified non-coding RNA (388 nucleotides) under soil metagenome. RNAcentral describes it as "partial contains 5.8S ribosomal RNA, internal transcribed spacer 2, and large subunit ribosomal RNA". The stretch from base 1 to 120 matches the Rfam family "5.8S ribosomal RNA", at positions 35 to 154 of the family's 154-position model. The record is from RNAcentral.
GAUGAAGAACGUAGCGAAAUGCGAUAAGUAAUGUGAAUUGCAGAAUUCAGUGAAUCAUCGAAUCUUUGAACGCACCUUGCGCUCCUUGGUAUUCCGAGGAGCAUGCCUGUUUGAGUGUCAUUAAAUUCUCAACCUUAUUAGCUUUUGCUGAUAAUGGCUUGGACUUGGGGGUCUUUUUGCUGGCUUUCAUUAGUCUGCUCCCCUUAAAUGUAUUAGCCGGUGCCCCGCAGUGGAACCGUCUAUUGGUGUGAUAAUUAUCUACGCCGUGGACGUCUGCUAUAAUGGGUUUGCGCUGCUUCUAACCGUCUCUCGGGACAACACAAAUGACAAUUUGACCUCAAAUCAGGUAGGACUACCCGCUGAACUUAAGCAUAUCAAUAAGCGGAGG